GAGCUUUACUUAAAAGGGCACAGCACUCCUAAACUUUACUCAAGAGGCUGCAGCAGUCCUAAUCUCUACUCCGGAGGCCAUAGCAGUGAUCACUUUUACCCAAGAGGACACAACAGCCAAAAGCUCCACACAAGUCAGCACCAUGGAACUAAUAAGUCAUCUUCAAGGCAUAACAGCAAUGAGAUCCACACAUCAAGCACUGAGGUGGCUAGACCAAGUCAUGUUGGCAGUAAAAUUCAUAGAUCAAGCCAUGUUAGCACUAAGAUUCACGGACAAAGCCACUCUGCACCUUCUACAGUCACAUCAAAGCACACUGAGCCACCCCAGACCAGAGAGCAGACAUCAAAUCUGCAAACAUCCCUUCUGCGUAAUAUAUUAACAAAGCAGGAAAUGAUGAUGGACCAACUUUGAAUCAACUUUAAGAUGCUGCAGAGUAUGAAACCAACUGAAGAGGCAGAGGCAGUCCUGGAUCGAAACUUGCUGCCAAUAAAAGAUGUUGGUUCUCUGGAAGACAUUGAGGAACAACUACGUAGUAAUCCUGACCUCCAGAAACAGUUGGUAAACAAAUUGGCUCUCAAAGGUGGGGUGGACCUUCAUGAGUGCAUAU
Molecule: non-coding RNA, 607 nt
Organism: Danio rerio (zebrafish)
Lineage: Eukaryota; Metazoa; Chordata; Actinopteri; Cypriniformes; Danionidae
Source: RefSeq, a predicted model, not a curated record